CCUGUACUCACAGGACGGGAUGUGAACCUGAAUCCAGGUUUGAACCACUCA
Molecule: non-coding RNA, 51 nt
Filed under: unclassified sequences
Description: eL15-Euryarchaeota ribosomal protein leader
Rfam family: eL15-Euryarchaeota ribosomal protein leader
Source: RNAcentral